This is a long non-coding RNA of Piliocolobus tephrosceles (Ugandan red Colobus), 446 nucleotides long. RefSeq lists it as uncharacterized. The record is from RefSeq and is a predicted model, not a curated record. Lineage: Eukaryota; Metazoa; Chordata; Mammalia; Primates; Cercopithecidae. The transcript has 3 exons.
GUAAACCCAGGUCUGUCUGGCUCAGAAUUUACUCUGUUACAUGAAGUCCUCUCUGAAGAGCUAGAUCCAGGCUUACACACAGAAAACUAAAGGGAAAAGCUGUUAUUUUCUGUGCAGCCUGUGUAUCUGCAGCCAUCUGGGAAAAACAGAGCUGCCGCAGUAGACAAGCAAGUUUUAAUUUACGAAGCACCGAUCCAGAAAAAAAUGAAGGACUACAACAAGGAAGAAGAAGGCACAUGACCAAGCAGAGGAGAGGUCCUGCACAGGAAGAUGGUGUGGUCCAAAGAUGACCCUGUGCAACAGCCCUGGAGGGAAGUAGACCGGAGCGGAAGGAUCAAUGCACCAGAGUAAAGAGGCGCGGCAGUGAGGACAGGAAUAAUUGACAGAUCAUCAGACAUGAUUAAACCAUUUGGGGAAAGUUUAUUAACUGUGUACAGGAGAUCUAA